GCAAGUCAUGACCACUAGGGUGUCCUUUAAAAGAGAUGCUCUUUAAAUAUUUGUUCACUGUGUAUUUAGAGUAGAGGCUGAGAAUUUCAUGAGGGAAAGAGGAAAGGGACCAUCGCUCUGGAUAGUUAGACUGAAAUGGAGCUCAGGACCUCCUCUUAGCUCAGAAAAAAAUAUCUAUCAAGCAUUGACUAUGUGCCAGGUACUUUCUAGACAUUCGAGACAUACCGGUGAAUAAAACAAGCAGAGAUCGCUGCCUUCAUUGAGUUUAUAUUCUUGUGAACAGAAACAGACAAUAAACAAACAAAGAGUAAAUUAAGGAAUGCAUUAUAGCUGUUAAAGCAAUCUUAAGGGAAAUCCGAAGCUUCCACUGCAGCACCAUGCUUAGAAGUUCCUGUUUUCUUCAAUGUCAAAUAGCAGUGAAAAUAAAAAAUCUCCCACUUCCAGUUCUAGGAGAAUAUUAGGCUGCACAGAUCCAGAGACUAACUUCUGGAGUUCCAGGGAAGUGCUGAACCAGAUGUCCUGGUGCAUGAGGCCUGGUUUCUCUACGACAGCAAAAUUUAGAAUCUGCAAAGUGGACACCAGCCUAACCUGUAACAUAGAAGGUCCUUGCCCUCAUGGAGUUCACGGAACUUGGAUAUAGAAAGAUGGACUUCUAGAUUAGCCUCCUGAAGGGUCCAAAAGAGUGAAGUCCAUCAAACAUGGAUGCAUAAGGUAGAGGAAAAGAGUGACACAGAAUCCGUUACAUGAUGCUGCUGAGCAAGAAUUUUCAGUUGAUGAGAAUUACAUAUUAAAUAUGAAGCCCUUCAGGAAUCUGUUUCUUUCUAUCAGUGCGGUCUACCUUGUUGAUUUUUUAACAAAAUUGAGACCAGGAUCAUCUAAAAAGUCUUCAAGUUUAAAAAAAUAUGGAAGACUAUAGAGUAUGGAAAGAGCACUGGAGGAGGAG
RNAcentral lists this long non-coding RNA (943 nucleotides) under Equus asinus (donkey). Its description in RNAcentral is "lncRNA (ENSEASG00005026909.1)". The record is from RNAcentral. Lineage: Eukaryota; Metazoa; Chordata; Mammalia; Perissodactyla; Equidae.